UCUAGUUCUAUCUAGAACCUUCCCCCUUCCCCUCCUCUCUGAUGAGUUCCCUUCAUCUUCUCCGACCACCUUCUAACGUGAAUCCAUGGUGGUUUCACCACCCACCAGCCUCUUAUGGCUCCUCAUGCUUGGUUAGUGAAGUUUCAUGACUUGACCAUGAAAAGUUGGGUCCAUAACUCUAUUCAUUCAAGCUUUACGGCCAUCUCCGUCCUUCUUCCGUCAAGCUAUGUCUAUUUCGAGCCAAGCUCCGACUCCUCCUUUUUAGAUCCAGACCUUUCUCACCGUUUGGGUUCCUCUGAAUCCCCAGCUUUUGAGAUUUUUCUGAUCUAUGUAAAUUCGUCCCAGAUCCAUGUUUUCCCUAUGAUUUUAAACGAUUUUCUGAUAUUUUUUCAAAAGUUAUGCUUUUAAAACCUUUAUUUUCUGAUCUAUGGUUUUGAGUCAUGUUUCUCUUAUUUUCUUGUGUGUUUCUCUAAUUUUCUUUUUCUCUUGUGUGCUUCUAUGAUUUUCUUUGUCUCUUGUGUGUUUUUCUAUUAUGCCCCUCCUACUAUGUUCUUGUUAAGUUUCUUCUACCAUAUUUUUCUAUUAUAUUGCUCGUACUGCGUUCUUGUUAAAUUUCUUCUACCAUGUUCUUCUACUAUGUUUCUCCUACUGUGCUUUUGUUAAGAUUCUCCUAGCAUAUUCCUAUUUGUUUCUUCUACCAGUUCCUCUACUUUUUUUCGCAUUUUACUUUUUACUUUAUUUCUCAUGAAUUUCUGUUACUGAAAGAACAUGUUAAAAGGUCAAAGUUCCUUUCUAAGACCUUUGAACCUGUUUCAACUAGUGUCUUUUCCCCUAAUCACUUGCCUUUCGUCUCUGCACUCGGUUAAUGGCAAGAACCCUAAAUUUGGGGUUCACCGAGUUUUGAGACCCCUGGCUAUGUGAUUUGCUGGCUCUUCAUCUCUAAACUUUCCAGAUUUCAAAAACCUUAAUUUUUGGACCUAUUUGAGUUCCUGGAAUUGUUUCAUCUACUGAUUCAUUAAGUUUCAAAAUCAUUUUUUCAAUUUUAUUUCUUCAUAUGAUUCUGACUUUUGCCGAACUCUAUAAGACAUUUUACUUGAUCCCUUCUCGCAUGCCUGAUACUUGUCUACUCUUUAUAUGUGCUGGACUUCCCCUCUAAAAUGGCUUUCAAAUUUUGAUUUGUUUCAGACUUCCUUCUGUAUAUGUUUGAUUGAUUUCUCUUAUUGUUUGCUAAUUUCCCUAUG
RNAcentral lists this long non-coding RNA (1241 nucleotides) under Nicotiana benthamiana. RNAcentral describes it as "long non-coding RNA (NBEN_LNC013392)". Lineage: Eukaryota; Viridiplantae; Streptophyta; Magnoliopsida; Solanales; Solanaceae. The record is from RNAcentral.